CCUACGGGUGGCAGCAGUGAGGAAUAUUGGUCAAUGGCCGGAAGGCUGAACCAGCCAAGCCGCGUGAGGGAGGAAGGCGCAGAGCGUCGCAGACCCCUUUUGCCGGGGGACAAAAGGCCGGACUCGUCCGGUCCUGAGGGUACCCGGCGAAAAAGCAUCGGCUAACCCCGUUCCAGCAGCCGGGGAAAUACGGGGGAGGCGGGCGGUUUCCGGGUUCAUGGGGGUUAAAGGGUGCGCAGGGGGGCCUUUAGGCCGGCGGUGAAAGCGCGGGGUUAAACCCCGCCGAGCCGGCGGGACUGGGAGCCUAGAGUACGGGAGAGGCAUGCGGAAUGCGCGGUGUAGCGGUGAAAUGCAUAGAUAUCGGGCAGAACACUGAUUGCGAAGGCAGCGAGCCGGGCGGCAACUGACGCUGAGGCACGAAAGCGCGGGGAGCGAACAGGAUUAGAUACCCCUGUAGUC
This 459-nucleotide ribosomal RNA is filed under the name uncultured bacterium. RNAcentral's name for it is "partial 16S ribosomal RNA". It matches the Rfam family "Bacterial small subunit ribosomal RNA", at positions 338 to 795 of the family's 1533-position model. The record is from RNAcentral.